This 441-nucleotide ribosomal RNA is filed under the name uncultured bacterium. Its description in RNAcentral is "partial 16S ribosomal RNA". It matches the Rfam family "Bacterial small subunit ribosomal RNA", at positions 338 to 795 of the family's 1533-position model. The record is from RNAcentral.
CCUACGGGAGGCAGCAGUCGGGAAUAUUGCACAAUGGAGGAAACUCUGAUGCAGCGACGCCGCGUGCAGGAAGAAGGCUUUCGGAUUGUAAACUGCUUUAGACAGGGAAGAAACAAGACAGUACCUGUAGAAUAAGCUCCGGCUAACUACGUGCCAGCAGCCGCGGUACUACGUAGGGAGCAAGCGUUAUCCGGAUUUAGUGGGUGUAACGGGUGCGUAGACGGGAAGUUAAGGUAGUUGUGAAAUCUCUCGGCUUAACUUAGGAACUGCAACUGAAACUGAAUUUCUUGAGUGCGGGAGAGGAAAGUGGAAUUCCUAGUGUAGCGGUGAAAUGCGUAGAUAUUAGGAGGAACCCCAGUGGCGAAGGCGACUUUCUGGACCGUAACUGACGUUGAGGCACGAAAGUGUGGGGAGCAAACAGGAUUAGAUACCCGGGUAGUC